This 639-nucleotide ribosomal RNA is filed under the name uncultured Actinomycetes bacterium. Its description in RNAcentral is "bacterial SSU rRNA". It matches the Rfam family "Bacterial small subunit ribosomal RNA", at positions 232 to 885 of the family's 1533-position model. The record is from RNAcentral. Lineage: Bacteria; Bacillati; Actinomycetota; Actinomycetes.
CGCGGCCUAUCAGCUUGUUGGUGAGGUAAUGGCUCACCAAGGCAUCGACGGGUAGCUGGUCUGAGAGGACGAUCAGCCACACUGGGACUGAGACACGGCCCAGACUCCUACGGGAGGCAGCAGUGGGGAAUCUUGCGCAAUGGGCGAAAGCCUGACGCAGCGAUGCCGCGUGGGGGAUGAAGGCUCUCGGGUCGUAAACCCCUUUCAGCAGGGACGAAAAUGACGGUACCUGCAGAAGAAGCCCCGGCCAACUACGUGCCAGCAGCCGCGGUAACACGUAGGGGGCAAGCGUUGUCCGGAUUUAUUGGGCGUAAAGGGCUCGUAGGCUGUUCAGUAAGUCAGGUGCGAAAACCCAAGGCUCAACCUUGGGACGCCACUUGAUACUGCUGUGACUAGAGUCCGGUAGAGGAGAUUGGAAUUCCUGGUGUAGCGGUGAAAUGCGCAGAUAUCAGGAGGAACACCAACGGCGAAGGCAGAUCUCUGGGCCGGUACUGACGCUGAGGAGCGAAAGCAUGGGGAGCAAACAGGAUUAGAUACCCUGGUAGUCCAUGCCGUAAACGUUGGGCACUAGGUGUGGGGUCUAUUCAGCGGAUUCCGUGCCGCAGCUAACGCAUUAAGUGCCCCGCCUGGGGAGUACGG